This 804-nucleotide ribosomal RNA is filed under the name uncultured organism. Its description in RNAcentral is "SSU rRNA". It matches the Rfam family "Bacterial small subunit ribosomal RNA", at positions 28 to 802 of the family's 1533-position model. The record is from RNAcentral.
GACGAACGCUGGCGGCGUGCUUAACACAUGCAAGUCGAACGAAGAGCGAUGGAAGCUUGCUUCUAUCAAUCUUAGUGGCGAACGGGUGAGUAACGCGUAAUCAACCUGCCCUUCAGAGGGGGACAACAGUUGGAAACGACUGCUAAUACCGCAUACGAUUUAACCUUGGCAUCGAGGAUAGAUGAAAGGUGGCCUCUAUUUAUAAGCUAUCACUGAAGGAGGGGAUUGCGUCUGAUCAGCUAGUUGGAGGGGUAACGGCCCACCAAGGCGAUGAUCAGUAGCCGGUCUGAGAGGAUGAACGGCCACAUUGGGACUGAGACACGGCCCAGACUCCUACGGGAGGCAGCAGUGGGGAAUCUUCCGCAAUGGACGAAAGUCUGACGGAGCAACGCCGCGUGAGUGAUGACGGCCUCGGGGUUGUAAAGCUCUGUUAAUCGGGACGAAAGGCCUUCUUGCGAAUAGUUAGAAGGAUUGACGGUACCGGAAUAGAAAGCCACGGCUAACUACGUGCCAGCAGCCGCGGUAAUACGUAGGUGGCAAGCGUUGCCCGGAAUUAUUGGGCGUAAAGCGCGCGCAGGCGGAUUGGUCAGUCUGUCCUAAAAGUCCGGGGCUUAACCCCGUGAUGGGAUGGAAACUGCCAAUCUAGAGUAUCGGAGAGGAAAGUGGAAUUCCUAGUGUAGCGGUGAAAUGCGUAGAUAUUAGGAAGAACACCAGUGGCGAGGGCGACUUUCUGGACGAAAACUGACGCUGAGGCGCGAAAGCCAGGGGAGCGAACGGGAUUAGAUACCCCGGUAGUCCUGGCCG